CAACUUUCAGCAACGGAUCUCUUGGCUCUCGCAUCGAUGAAGAACGCAGCGAAAUGCGAUAAGUAAUGUGAAUUGCAGAAUUCAGUGAAUCAUCGAAUCUUUGAACGCACCUUGCGCUCCUUGGUAUUCCGAGGAGCAUGCCUGUUUGAGUGUCAUGGUA
Molecule: ribosomal RNA, 160 nt
Filed under: Neohypochnicium geogenium
Lineage: Eukaryota; Fungi; Basidiomycota; Agaricomycetes; Polyporales
Also listed under: 1 other name
Description: Hypochnicium geogenium 5.8S ribosomal RNA
Rfam family: 5.8S ribosomal RNA
About the family: 5.8S ribosomal RNA (5.8S rRNA) is a component of the large subunit of the eukaryotic ribosome. It is transcribed by RNA polymerase I as part of the 45S precursor that also contains 18S and 28S rRNA.
Source: RNAcentral